CCUACGGGAGGCUGCAGUGAGGAAUAUUGGUCAAUGGACGAGAGUCUGAACCAGCCAAGUAGCGUGAAGGAUGACUGCCCUAUGGGUUGUAAACUUCUUUUAUAAAGGAAUAAAACGAGGGACGGGUGCCUGUUUGCAUGUACCUUAUGAAGAAGGAUCGGCUAACGCCGGGCCAGCAGCCGCGGUAAUACGGAGGUUCCGAGCGUUAACCGGAUUUAUUGGGUUUAAAGGGAGCGUAGAGGGGUUGUUAAGUCAGUUGGGAAAGUUUGCGGCUCAACCCUCAAAUUGCAAUUGAUACUGGCAGUCUUGCGUACCGUUGAGGUAUGCGGAAUUCGUGGUGUAGCGGUGAAAUGCUUAGAUCUCACGAAGAACCCCGAUUGCGAAGGCAGCUUACUAAACUGUGACUGACAUUGCUGCUCGAAAGUGUGGGUAUCAAACAGGAUUAGCUACCCUAGUAGUC
This 460-nucleotide ribosomal RNA is filed under the name uncultured bacterium. RNAcentral's name for it is "partial 16S ribosomal RNA". It matches the Rfam family "Bacterial small subunit ribosomal RNA", at positions 338 to 795 of the family's 1533-position model. The record is from RNAcentral.